AGGGAAUCUUCCACAAUGGACGAAAGUCUGAUGGAGCAACGCCGCGUGAGUGAAGAAGGUCUUCGGAUCGUAAAACUCUGUCCUUGGUGACGAAAAAAAUGACGGUAGCCAAGGAGGAAGUCCCGGCUAACUACGUGCCAGCAGCCGCGGUAAUACGUAGGGGACAAGCGUUGUCCGGAUUUACUGGGCGUAAAGGGCACGCAGGCGGUUUUUUAAGUCAGAUGUGAAAGGUACCGGCUCAACCGGUGACAUGCAUUUGAAACUGAAAGACUUCAGUAUUGGAGAGGCAAGUGGAAUUCCUAGUGUAGCGGUGAAAUGCGUAGAUAUUAGGAGGAACACCGGUGGCGAAGGCGGCUUGCUGGACAAAUACUGACGCUGAGGUGCGAAAGCGUGGGGAGCAAACA
RNAcentral lists this ribosomal RNA (404 nucleotides) under uncultured Acetobacterium sp. RNAcentral's name for it is "bacterial SSU rRNA". It matches the Rfam family "Bacterial small subunit ribosomal RNA", at positions 356 to 774 of the family's 1533-position model. The record is from RNAcentral. Lineage: Bacteria; Bacillati; Bacillota; Clostridia; Eubacteriales; Eubacteriaceae.